GACGAACGCUGGCGGUGUGCUUCACACAUGCAAGUCGAACGAGGUAGCAAUACCUAGUGGCGGACGGGUGAGUAACGCGUGGGUAACCUGCCCUGUACACACGGAUAACAUACCGAAAGGUAUGCUAAUACGAGAUAAUAUACUUUUAUCGCAUGGUAGAAGUAUCAAAGCUCCGGCGGUACAGGAUGGACCCGCGUCUGAUUAGCUAGUUGGUGAGGCAACGGCUCACCAAGGCGACGACGGGUAGCCGGCCUGAGAGGGUGUCCGGCCACACUGGAACUGAGACACGGUCCAGACUCCUACGGGAGGCAGCAGUGGGGAAUUUUGGGCAAUGGGGGAGACCCUGACCCAGCGACGCCGCGUGAGGGACGAAGGCCCUUGGGUCGUAAACCUCUUUUGCAGGGGAAGAAGUGCGUGACGGUACCUUGCGAAUAAGUCCCGGCUAACUACGUG
RNAcentral lists this ribosomal RNA (453 nucleotides) under uncultured bacterium. RNAcentral describes it as "bacterial SSU rRNA". It matches the Rfam family "Bacterial small subunit ribosomal RNA", at positions 28 to 507 of the family's 1533-position model. The record is from RNAcentral.